AAAUUGAAGAGUUUGAUCAUGGCUCAGAUUGAACGCUGGCGGCAGGCCUAACACAUGCAAGUCGAACGGUAACAGGAAACAGCUUGCUGUUUCGCUGACGAGUGGCGGACGGGUGAGUAAUGUCUGGGAAACUGCCUGAUGGAGGGGGAUAACUACUGGAAACGGUAGCUAAUACCGCAUAACGUCGCAAGACCAAAGAGGGGGACCUUCGGGCCUCUUGCCAUCGGAUGUGCCCAGAUGGGAUUAGCUUGUUGGUGGGG
Molecule: ribosomal RNA, 260 nt
Filed under: Escherichia coli
Lineage: Bacteria; Pseudomonadati; Pseudomonadota; Gammaproteobacteria; Enterobacterales; Enterobacteriaceae
Description: partial 16S ribosomal RNA
Rfam family: Bacterial small subunit ribosomal RNA
Source: RNAcentral